AUGCUCACUUCAGCAGCACAUAUACUAAAAUUGGAAUAGUACAGAGAAGAUUAGCAUGGCCCCUGCACAAGAAUUGCAUGCAAAUUCACAAAAUGUUCCAUGUUUUU
Molecule: small nuclear RNA, 107 nt
Filed under: Catagonus wagneri (Chacoan peccary)
Lineage: Eukaryota; Metazoa; Chordata; Mammalia; Artiodactyla; Tayassuidae
Source: RNAcentral